ACGGGAGGCAGCAGUGGGGGAUAUUGCACAAUGGAGGAAACUCUGAUGUAGCAACGCCGCGUGAGGGAAGAAGGUUUUCGGAUUGUAAACCUCUGUUUUUAAUGAAGAAACAAAUGACGGUAGCUAAAGAGGAAGCCACGGCUAACUACGUGCCAGCAGCCGCGGUAAUACGUAGGUGGCAAGCGUUGUCCGGAUUUACUGGGUGUAAAGGGUGCGCAGGCGGGACUGCAAGUUGGAUGUGAAAUACCGAGGCUUAACCUCGGGGCUGCAUCCAAAACUGUAGUUCUUGAGUGGAGUAGAGGUGAGCGGAAUUCCGAGUGUAGCGGUGAAAUGCGUAGAUAUUCGGAGGAACACCAGUGGCGAAGGCGGCUUACUGGGCUCUAACUGACGCUGAGGCACGAAAGCAUGGGUAGCAAACAGGAUUAGAUACCCUGGUA
This 437-nucleotide ribosomal RNA is filed under the name uncultured Clostridium sp. Its description in RNAcentral is "partial 16S ribosomal RNA". It matches the Rfam family "Bacterial small subunit ribosomal RNA", at positions 341 to 792 of the family's 1533-position model. Lineage: Bacteria; Bacillati; Bacillota; Clostridia; Eubacteriales; Clostridiaceae. The record is from RNAcentral.